ACAGAUGCAAACCUGCUGCGAAAGGGCAAGAAGCCUGCUGGCCCCUCGAAGCGUCCAAUUGUGGCGAGGUGGCCUCCGGCUCUGAAGCAAACUACAAUUUCUACCAAGGUGGUCAUCUCAAAGAAGAUGCCUGCGCCAUCAGAGGGUAAUCUUACCCCGGCCACAUCGCUAGUAGCUACUCUGCCCAUUGUCCUAGUGCCAGGUAGCUAAAGGGAAAAAGGGC
Molecule: long non-coding RNA, 223 nt
Filed under: Olea europaea (common olive)
Lineage: Eukaryota; Viridiplantae; Streptophyta; Magnoliopsida; Lamiales; Oleaceae
Description: long non-coding RNA (OEUR_LNC002010)
Source: RNAcentral